GGACUACAGGGGUAUCUAAUCCUGUUUGCUCCCCACGCUUUCGAGUCUCAGCGUCAGUAAUCUUCUAGAUGGCCGCCUUCGCCACAGGUGUUCCUCCAGAUAUCUACGAAUUUCACCUCUACACCUGGAAUUCCGCCAUCCCCUCCGAUACUCUAGCCCGACAGUAUCAGAUGCAGUUCCUUGGUUGAGCCUAGGGAUUUCACAUCUGACUUAUCGAGCCGCCUACACUCGCUUUACGCCCAGUAAUUCCGAACAACGCUUGCACCCUCUGUAUUACCGCGGCUGCUGGCAC
This 292-nucleotide ribosomal RNA is filed under the name uncultured bacterium. RNAcentral describes it as "partial 16S ribosomal RNA". The record is from RNAcentral.